Molecule: long non-coding RNA, 300 nt
Organism: Vespa crabro (European hornet)
Lineage: Eukaryota; Metazoa; Arthropoda; Insecta; Hymenoptera; Vespidae
Exons: 3
Source: RefSeq, a predicted model, not a curated record
GAGUCAGUGGAUCAUGGAAGAUGAAUAAGGAUCUAAUACACUUCCAUAGAAGAAUAUUGACUUACAUUGUCAUUAAGUCAAUGUAUUACAAAUUCAAUCUAAUUAAUUUUCCAUCUACGUUGAUUUAUUUAAUUUUGGAUCUAUUGCGGAACAGCUUACAUAAAUUUCGAGCUACAACUGGGCGAUGUUUUGGAGCUAUUGUGGAUUUUCUUAAUUAAUUUACUCGAGAAUGAUACAGUUGGAAUUGUUUUUUUUAUUGAGCAUAGUCUAGUUUCUUUAGCUUAGGAUAGUAUCUUCUUG